AUUGAACGCUGGCGGCAGGCCUAACACAUGCAAGUCGAGCGGAUGAAGGGAGCUUGCUCCUGGAUUCAGCGGCGGACGGGUGAGUAAUGCCUAGGAAUCUGCCUGGUAGUGGGGGAUAACGUCCGGAAACGGGCGCUAAUACCGCAUACGUCCUGGGGAGAAAGUGGGGGAUCUUCGGACCUCACGCUAUCAGAUGAGCCUAGGUCGGAUUAGCUAGUUGGUGGGGUAAAGGCCUACCAAGGCGACGAUCCGUAACUGGUCUGAGAGGAUGAUCAGUCACACUGGAACUGAGACACGGUCCAGACUCCUACGGGAGGCAGCAGUGGGGAAUAUUGGACAAUGGGCGAAAGCCUGAUCCAGCCAUGCCGCGUGUGUGAAGAAGGUCUUCGGAUUGUAAAGCACUUUAAGUUGGGAGGAAGGGCAGUAAGUUAAUACCUUGCUGUUUUGACGUUACCAACAGAAUAAGCACCGACUAACUUCGUG
RNAcentral lists this ribosomal RNA (483 nucleotides) under uncultured bacterium. RNAcentral describes it as "partial 16S ribosomal RNA". It matches the Rfam family "Bacterial small subunit ribosomal RNA", at positions 30 to 507 of the family's 1533-position model. The record is from RNAcentral.